RNAcentral lists this ribosomal RNA (490 nucleotides) under uncultured bacterium. Its description in RNAcentral is "partial 16S ribosomal RNA". It matches the Rfam family "Bacterial small subunit ribosomal RNA", at positions 30 to 507 of the family's 1533-position model. The record is from RNAcentral.
AUUGAACGCUGGCGGCAGGCCUAACACAUGCAAGUCGAACGGUAACAGGAAGAAGCUUGCUUCUUUGCUGACGAGUGGCGGACGGGUGAGUAAUGUCUGGGAAACUGCCUGAUGGAGGGGGAUAACUACUGGAAACGGUAGCUAAUACCGCAUAAUGUCGCAAGACCAAAGAGGGGGACCUUCGGGCCUCUUGCCAUCGGAUGUGCCCAGAUGGGAUUAGCUAGUAGGUGGGGUAACGGCUCACCUAGGCGACGAUCCCUAGCUGGUCUGAGAGGAUGAACAGCCACACUGGAACUGAGACACGGUCCAGACUCCUACGGGAGGCAGCAGUGGGGAAUAUUGGACAAUGGGCGCAAGCCUGAUGCAGCUAUGCCGCGUGUAUGAAGAAGGCCUUCGGGUUGUAAAGUACUUUCAGCGGGGAGGAAGGGAGUAAAGUUAAUACCUUUGCUCAUUGACGUUACCCGCAGAAGAAGCACCGGCUAACUCCGUG